GGCUGAGAUCGUAAGAUCUAACUUCUCUCUUAUAUAACUCCUCAAACAAAAAAUUUCUCAGUUCCUCCAAAACCUAAAAUCUCCGCUGCGGCUCAGAAGAAGGAAACGAAAGGCUUUCUAGGGUUUUCUUCAUCAUGGUUCUCUCAAAUGAUAUCGAUCUGUUGAAUCCAAAACCUGAUUUGGAGAAGAGGAGGCACAAGCUUAAGCGUUUGGUUCAAUCCCAAACUCCUUCUUCAUGCCUGCCUGCCUGUCAACGAAACUGCUUCCCAUU
Papaver somniferum (opium poppy) is the source of this 271-nucleotide long non-coding RNA. RefSeq lists it as uncharacterized. NCBI's taxonomy places the organism in Eukaryota, Viridiplantae, Streptophyta, Magnoliopsida, Ranunculales, Papaveraceae. The transcript has 3 exons. The record is from RefSeq and is a predicted model, not a curated record.